CAGAAUAUAGCUAAAUUAGAAAGCGUCUCUUUUACACAGAGUUAAUACCUGUGCAAUUCAGGUUAUUUUGA
RNAcentral lists this transfer RNA (71 nucleotides) under Acaudina molpadioides. Its description in RNAcentral is "tRNA-Val". It matches the Rfam family "tRNA". Rfam says of the family: Transfer RNA (tRNA) molecules are approximately 80 nucleotides in length. Lineage: Eukaryota; Metazoa; Echinodermata; Holothuroidea; Molpadida; Caudinidae. The record is from RNAcentral.